GCUCAGAUUGAACGCUGGCGGCAGGCCUAACACAUGCAAGUCGAGCGGUAACAGAAAGUAGCUUGCUACUUUGCUGACGAGCGGCGGACGGGUGAGUAAUGCUUGGGAACAUGCCUUGAGGUGGGGGACAACAGUUGGAAACGACUGCUAAUACCGCAUAAUGUCUACGGACCAAAGGGGGCUUCGGCUCUCGCCUUUAGAUUGGCCCAAGUGGGAUUAGCUAGUUGGUGAGGUAAUGGCUCACCAAGGCAACGAUCCCUAGCUGGUUUGAGAGGAUGAUCAGCCACACUGGAACUGAGACACGGUCCAGACUCCUACGGGAGGCAGCAGUGGGGAAUAUUGCACAAUGGGCGAAAGCCUGAUGCAGCCAUGCCGCGUGUGUGAAGAAGGCCUUCGGGUUGUAAAGCACUUUCAGUCAGGAGGAAAGGGUGUGAGUUAAUACCUCAUAUCUGUGACGUUACUGACAGAAGAAGCACCGGCUAACUCCGUGCCAGCAGCCGCGGUAAUACGGAGGGUGCGAGCGUUAAUCGGAAUUACUGGGCGUAAAGCGUACGCAGGCGGUUUGUUAAGCGAGAUGUGAAAGCCCCGGGCUCAACCUGGGAACUGCAUUUCGAACUGGCAAACUAGAGUGUGAUAGAGGGUGGUAGAAUUUCAGGUGUAGCGGUGAAAUGCGUAGAGAUCUGAAGGAAUACCGAUGGCGAAGGCAGCCACCUGGGUCAACACUGACGCUCAUGUACGAAAGCGUGGGGAGCAAACGGGAUUAGAUACCCCGGUAGUCCACGCCGUAAACGAUGUCUACUAGAAGCUCGGAACCUCGGUUCUGUUUUUCAAAGCUAACGC
RNAcentral lists this ribosomal RNA (840 nucleotides) under Pseudoalteromonas sp. 20III/A02/208. RNAcentral describes it as "bacterial SSU rRNA". It matches the Rfam family "Bacterial small subunit ribosomal RNA", at positions 22 to 858 of the family's 1533-position model. Lineage: Bacteria; Pseudomonadati; Pseudomonadota; Gammaproteobacteria; Alteromonadales; Pseudoalteromonadaceae. The record is from RNAcentral.